GACGAAGGUGGCGAGCGUUGUUCGGAAUCACUGGGCAUAAAGCGCACGUAGGCGGCUUUGCAAGUUAGAGGUGAAAGCCCGGGGCUCAACUCCGGAAUUGCCUUUAAAACUGCAUCGCUAGAAUUGUGGAGAGGUAAGUGGAAUUCCGAGUGUAGAGGUGAAAUUCGUAGAUAUUCGGAAGAACACCAGUGGCGAAGGCGACUUACUGGACACAUAUUGACGCUGAGGUGCGAAAGCGUGGGGAGCAAACAGG
This 253-nucleotide ribosomal RNA is filed under the name uncultured bacterium. RNAcentral describes it as "partial 16S ribosomal RNA". It matches the Rfam family "Bacterial small subunit ribosomal RNA", at positions 524 to 776 of the family's 1533-position model. The record is from RNAcentral.